Molecule: long non-coding RNA, 243 nt
Organism: Brienomyrus brachyistius
Lineage: Eukaryota; Metazoa; Chordata; Actinopteri; Osteoglossiformes; Mormyridae
Exons: 3
Source: RefSeq, a predicted model, not a curated record
AAGUCGCAGUACUAUUCCCUGGCUGAAGAAUCCACUUCUCCCUCUGGAAAUGAUGUGGCAACCUACUGAUGCCCUACGUGGAGAGCAUGACCUAAACAAAAACCAUGCAGACUUGUUUUCCUCACCACCACCUCAUCCAGAGCCUUCAAAAGUUCAGAAGUCCUGGAUACCAUCUGAAGUUUCACCAAGACCAUGCAAAAACCUGGACACCCCCAUCACAGCUACAAAGGACUCCUGCUGAAG